AUUGAACGCUGGCGGCAUGCCUUACACAUGCAAGUCGAACGGCAGCACGGGAGCAAUCCUGGUGGCGAGUGGCGAACGGGUGAGUAAUAUAUCGGAACGUGCCCAGUCGUGGGGGAUAACGCAGCGAAAGUUGUGCUAAUACCGCAUACGAUCUAUGGAUGAAAGCGGGGGAUCGCAAGACCUCGCGCGAUUGGAGCGGCCGAUAUCAGAUUAGGUUGUUGGUGAGGUAAAAGCUCACCAAGCCUGCGAUCUGUAGCUGGUCUGAGAGGACGACCAGCCACACUGGAACUGAGACACGGUCCAGACUCCUACGGGAGGCAGCAGUGGGGAAUUUUGGACAAUGGACGAAAGUCUGAUCCAGCAAUGCCGCGUGCAGGACGAAGGCCUUCGGUUGUAAACUGCUUUUGUACAGAACGAAAAGUACUUUAAUAACACUAGAGGCUCAUGACGUACUGUAAGAAUAAGCACCGGCUAACU
Molecule: ribosomal RNA, 477 nt
Filed under: uncultured bacterium
Lineage: Bacteria
Description: bacterial SSU rRNA
Rfam family: Bacterial small subunit ribosomal RNA
Source: RNAcentral